RNAcentral lists this ribosomal RNA (461 nucleotides) under uncultured bacterium. RNAcentral's name for it is "partial 16S ribosomal RNA". It matches the Rfam family "Bacterial small subunit ribosomal RNA", at positions 28 to 506 of the family's 1533-position model. The record is from RNAcentral.
GACGAACGCUGGCGGCGUGCUUAACACAUGCAAGUCGAACGGAAAGGCCCUUCGGGGUACUCGAGUGGCGAACGGGUGAGUAACACGUGGGUGAUCUGCCCUGCACUUUGGGAUAAGCCUGGGAAACUGGGUCUAAUACCGAAUAGGACCACGCGCUUCAUGGUGUGUGGUGGAAAGCUUUUGCGGUGUGGGAUGGGCCCGCGGCCUAUCAGCUUGUUGGUGGGGUAAUGGCCUACCAAGGCGACGACGGGUAGCCGGCCUGAGAGGGUGACCGGCCACAGUGGGAGGGGGGAAGGGCCCAGACCCCACCGGGGGGAAGGGGGGGGGAAUUUUGCACAAGGGGCGAAAGCCGGAGGGAGGGCCCCCGGGGGGGGGAUGACGGCCUUGGGGUUGUAAACCUUUUUCAAUGGGGACGAAGCGCAAGGGAGGGAACCUAUAAAAAAAGCACCGGCCAACUACGG